UGCCAGCCGCCGCGGUAAUACGGAGGGGGUUAGCGUUGUUCGGAAUUACUGGGCGUAAAGCGUACGUAGGCGGAUUAAUAAGUUAGAGGUGAAAUCCCAGGGCUCAACCUCGGAACUGCAUUCGAUACUCCCGUGCUAGAGUAAUGGAGAGGUAAGUGGAAUUCCUGGUGUAGCAGUGAAAUGCGUGGAUAUCAGGAGGAACAUCAAUGGCGAAGGCAACUUACUGGAUCAUUACUGACACUGAGGAACGAAAGCAUGGGUAGCGAAGAGGAUUAGAUA
This 279-nucleotide ribosomal RNA is filed under the name uncultured bacterium. RNAcentral describes it as "partial 16S ribosomal RNA". It matches the Rfam family "Bacterial small subunit ribosomal RNA", at positions 506 to 784 of the family's 1533-position model. The record is from RNAcentral.